AGCUCCUCUGCUCUGCGCUGAGCACACCGAGAGGCUUCAGCUGCUCCUCGCACACCUUGCCCUACAGACUCUUCACCAUCUCUGUCGCCCUUCCAUCAUGAGCACUUUUCCCAGCAAAAAGCUAUCAUUGGCUGUGAUAGCCCCUUGUUUGCUUCUUCUGCUUCAGGACGCAUGCUGGGUGGGAGCCUGGAUGUGAGCUGCAGGGAAACAGCUCCCUUUUGCUGUUUUGAAGAAGUGUAUAAGCCACUUUGAAGUCUCUGGAGAGCUUGGCUGAUCUGGCUCAAAGUUGGCUUUUACCGUCUGUGCCUCCCCCUCUUCUUCUCCUGUGCCCAGGGCACCAGCCUGCCAGCCACCCCCUGCUGCUCAAGCCAUGCGACCCACAGCUCUGUGUCUUUAGCACUCCAGCACUACUUUUCAUCCCCCUUCACCUCACCCUCACACCUCCCUGUUCAGCCUGGGCUCCCUAAGGCUCCUCUUCAUUUUCUGUGGAUGAAUGUUCUCACUUCAUUCCUCGUUCGUGGAGCUGUGCACAACAGCAUGUGCCUGGCACGGUUUUGGCAGGGGCUGCACACUGAGUAAAGAGCUGCAGCCAUUGUUCCACAGCUGCUGGAGCACGGCUGUGCCCUGAAAGCAGAAGGCUUGAGGAAAGCAACUCCAAUCAAUAAAUCAACCACCAGGUAUGCCCGUGGCUGGAGAAAAGGGCAGCUGUCGAGCAUAGCCCAAGCAUCUCUUGGACAACUCUUCUGUAAACAAACCUGCCAUUUAACAUUAGGGCACGGGCAUUAAAUAUUCCACGGAGCGCCCUGCCAGGAUGAAUUCCAGAGGUUCAUGCCUCUCCUUGCUCUGUGCUUGCACUAAACUUGGCUUCUGCUUAGCUGACAGCAGUGCUUCUUUCUGGCUUUCAGAAAGAAUGUGCUCCUGUGCAUAUAAAAAAGAAGAUCUUUUUCUCAGUCCCUGUGCAAGCAGCAGGUAUUGCUCGUGAUUUGCAGUUCAUGGGCCUGAACAUGUUUGAUAGCUGCCAAACCUAGAGGAGUUUGGCAAUACCCUAUUUAAGGUACAAAAAGAAAGGUCUCCUGGCAUUGCAGAGCCUGGAAGCAAGGGGAGACGAGCAAGUAGAAAGAGGGAGAAGUUGUUAUCUCUGCCUUGCACUCUGAAGUGCUUGUAGGGAAAAAAUAAUGUUCAACUCUACACAUCAUCAAAGUAAAUCAUAAAACAACACUAGAGCCCAGCGCUGAAAGAGCUCUGUAGUUAGCUUUGCCUUCUGGAGACCAAAAUCUAGGGGAAAAAAGAUAGAAAGACAGUAAUUUCACUAAUAACGUCUAAUAGAAUGGGAGAAGUUAUAUCU
RNAcentral lists this long non-coding RNA (1345 nucleotides) under Gallus gallus (chicken). RNAcentral describes it as "lncRNA (ENSGALG00010016090.1)". Lineage: Eukaryota; Metazoa; Chordata; Aves; Galliformes; Phasianidae. The record is from RNAcentral.